CAACCUGCCCUUGACUCUGGAAUAACAGCUGGAAACAGCUGCUAAUACCGGAUACGACCUCCGAUGGCAUCAUCUGGAGGUGGAAAGCUCCGACGGUCAAGGAUGGGCUCGCGGCCUAUCAGCUUGUUGGUGAGGUAACGGCUCACCAAGGCUUCGACGGGUAGCCGGCCUGAGAGGGCGACCGGCCACACUGGGACUGAGAUACGGCCCAG
This 212-nucleotide ribosomal RNA is filed under the name uncultured bacterium. RNAcentral's name for it is "partial 16S ribosomal RNA". It matches the Rfam family "Bacterial small subunit ribosomal RNA", at positions 122 to 334 of the family's 1533-position model. The record is from RNAcentral.